AUUGAACGCUGGCGGCAUGCUUUACACAUGCAAGUCGAACGGCAGCGCGGUCUUAGGCUUGGCGGCGGGUGGAGAACGGGCGGGGAGUACAUCGGUACGUGCGCAGUUGUGGGGGCUAGCGUGGUGAACGCGGGAUUACUACGGCAAUACCGCUGAGGGCGAAAGGGGGGGAUCAUGGGAACUCGGGCUCUUGGCGCGGUCGAUGUCGGAUUAGCUAGUUGGCGGGGUAGAGGCCCACCAAGGCGACGAUCCGUAGCUGGUCUGAGAGGAUGAUCAGCCACACUGGAACUGAGACACGGUCCAGACUCCUACGGGAGGCAGCAGUGGGGAAUAUUGGACAAUGGGCGCAAGCCUGAUCCAGCCAUACCGCGUGGGUGAAGAAGGCCUUCGGGUUGUAAAGCCCUUUUGUUGGGAAAGAAAAGCAGCAGGUUAAUACCCCGCUGUUCUGACGGUACCCAAAGAAUAAGCACCGGCUAACUUCGUG
RNAcentral lists this ribosomal RNA (484 nucleotides) under uncultured bacterium. RNAcentral describes it as "partial 16S ribosomal RNA". It matches the Rfam family "Bacterial small subunit ribosomal RNA", at positions 28 to 507 of the family's 1533-position model. The record is from RNAcentral.